This 204-nucleotide long non-coding RNA is filed under the name Elaeis guineensis (African oil palm). RNAcentral describes it as "long non-coding RNA (EGUI_LNC042301)". The record is from RNAcentral. Lineage: Eukaryota; Viridiplantae; Streptophyta; Magnoliopsida; Arecales; Arecaceae.
CCAAUCCAAUUUGCAUGUCAUAUAUCUCUACGUACAAAAUUAUUUUGUAUGAUAUUUUUUCACAUCAAAGAUUGUAUUCUCUUCUCUAUCUUGUAUCCAAAUCUAAUUUAGUUUUGAUGAAAUGAAGGUUCUAAAAUUGGAUUUUAAAAUAUUUCUGAUCAGGAGAAUCUGUUCUCAUUCAGAUCAACCUCUCCAUGUCAAUAA